This 465-nucleotide ribosomal RNA is filed under the name Clinodiplosis cilicrus. RNAcentral's name for it is "partial large subunit ribosomal RNA". The stretch from base 1 to 150 matches the Rfam family "Archaeal large subunit ribosomal RNA", at positions 1889 to 2084 of the family's 2987-position model. Lineage: Eukaryota; Metazoa; Arthropoda; Insecta; Diptera; Cecidomyiidae. The record is from RNAcentral.
CGCCUGUUUAUUAAAAACAUGGUUUUUAAAUUUAUUUAAAAAUUUGACCUGCCCAUUGAUUAUUAAUUAAAAGGCCGCAGUAUUUUGACUGUGCUAAGGUAGCAUAGUAAUUAGGUUUUUAAUUGAAAUCUUGAAUGAAUGGUUAGAUGAAAUAAAUACUUUUUUAUUUUUAUAAUUUGAAUUUUAUUUAUUAGUGAAAAAGCUAAUUUUUAAUAAUGGGACGAGAAGACCCUAUAGAAUUUUAUAAUUUUUAUAUAUUUUAUUAUUAAUAAUUUUAUUUAUUAUUUAAUAUUUAUUUUAUUGGGGAGAUAUUUAAAUUUAUUUAACUUUAAUUAAUUUUUUCAUUAAUAAAUGUAUUAUUGAUCUUUUUUUAUAGAUUAAAAAUUAAAAUUACCUUAGGGAUAACAGCAUAAUUUUUUUAAAAAGUUCUUAUUUUUAAAAUAUUUUAUGACCUCGAUGUUGGAU